This 406-nucleotide ribosomal RNA is filed under the name uncultured bacterium. RNAcentral's name for it is "partial 16S ribosomal RNA". It matches the Rfam family "Bacterial small subunit ribosomal RNA", at positions 30 to 526 of the family's 1533-position model. The record is from RNAcentral.
AUUGAACGCUGGCGGCAAGCCUAACACAUGCAAGUCGAACGAGUGGCGGACGGGUGAGUAAUGUAUGGGAAACUGCCUGAUGGAGGGGGAUAACUACUCGAAACGGUAGCUAAUACCGCAUACCAUUGGAUGUGCCCCGAUGGGAUUAGCUAGUAGGUGGGGUAAAGGCUCACCUAGGCGACGAUCCGUAGCUGGUCUGAGAGGAUUACCAGCAACACUUGAACUGAGACACGGUCCAGACUCCUACGGUAGGCAGCAGUGGGGAAUAUUGGAGAAUGGGCGAAAUCCUGAUUCAGCCAUGCCGCGUGUAUGAAGAAGGCCUUCGGUUUGUAAAGUACUUUCCGCGGGGAAGCGUUACCCGCAGAAGAAGCACCGGCUAACUCCGUGCCAGCAGCCGCGGUAAUUC